RNAcentral lists this ribosomal RNA (493 nucleotides) under uncultured bacterium. RNAcentral's name for it is "partial 16S ribosomal RNA". It matches the Rfam family "Bacterial small subunit ribosomal RNA", at positions 28 to 507 of the family's 1533-position model. The record is from RNAcentral.
GACGAACGCUGGCGGCGUGCUUAACACAUGCAAGUCGAACGGUGAAGGGACCGGUUUUUGCUGUUUCUGGAUGGGUGGCGGGCGGGUGACUAACACGUGAGUUACCUGCCCCCUUCUUCUGGAUUACCGCAUGAGAGUGUGACUCAUACGAGAUAUUCUUCGCCCGCUGUGUGGUGGGUAUGGUAACGGUGUUGUUUCAUUGGCGGGUGGGCUCGCGGCCUAUCAGCUUGUUGGUGGGGUGAUGGCCUAUCUAGGCGGUGCCGGGUCGCCGGCCUGAGAGGGUGGACGGCCAGACAGGGACUGCGGCACGGCCCAGACUGAUACGAGAGGCAGCAGUGGGGGAUAGUGCACAGUGGGCGCAAGCGUGAUGCGGGGGCGCCGCGGGAGCGAUGGCGGCCUUCGGGUUGUAAACCUCUUUCGCCAGUGAAGCAGGCCUGUCCCUUUUGUGGGUGGGCUGACGGUAGCUGGAGAAGAAGCGCCGGCUAACUACGUG